This 440-nucleotide RNase P RNA is filed under the name Brucella intermedia 229E. Its description in RNAcentral is "Ochrobactrum intermedium 229E Bacterial RNase P class A". It matches the Rfam family "Bacterial RNase P class A". Rfam says of the family: Ribonuclease P (RNase P) is a ubiquitous endoribonuclease, found in archaea, bacteria and eukarya as well as chloroplasts and mitochondria. Its best characterised activity is the generation of mature 5'-ends of tRNAs by cleaving the 5'-leader elements of precursor-tRNAs. Lineage: Bacteria; Pseudomonadati; Pseudomonadota; Alphaproteobacteria; Hyphomicrobiales; Brucellaceae. The record is from Rfam by way of RNAcentral.
UCAGUCGGUCGGGCAGCCGCGCCUGUCAUAUGCCGAAAGGCGGCAGGUGAGGAAAGUCCGGGCUCCAUGGAAACACGAUGCCGGGUAACGCCCGGCGGGGGUGAGCUGACCCCAGGGAUAGUGCCACAGAAAGCAGACCGCCCCCCCGUCUUCCGUACCGUUGCAAUGACGAAACGGCAGGGAUGACGGGGUAAGGGUGAAAGGGUGGGGUAAGAGCCCACCGCGUCGGCAGCAAUGCAGGCGGCACGGUAAACCCCCCCAUCGGGAGCAAAACCGAAUAGGGACGGCGCGUCGGUUCGCAAGGGCCGGCAAUCGGUUUCCGGAUCAGCCGUCCGGGUGGGUUGCACGAGGCGGGUGGCGACAUCCGUCCCAGAUGAAUGGCUGCCACGUCGGGCGCAAGCCCGGCCAUACAGAACCCGGCUUACAGACCGGCUGACAAU